UGUGACUUUCAAUUUUCUCCCUUUGUUUAUUUUUGUCCCUUGGUUUAUUUAGUAAGAAAAAGAUAGAAGAGAGAAAGUGUUGGCUCCGUAGAUUUGAGCCUGGUACUCACCUGGACCAAAAAAAUUCUAAGCAAGCUUUUCCCUUUUGGUUUGCUUUUGUUUCUUUGCCAAAAGGAGAGGACACUGAUGUCAAAAGAGAUGAUCUUGCAAGGGCUCUAAUGGUAUGAUGUAAUUGAAUGUGAUGCUCCAUUGUUAUAGUAUUUGUAGGUGUUGAAUUUAUCUAUGCUCUUUGUUAUGAUCUUCCAGUUACCAAACUUUAUCAUUCUAACAAUGGAGCACUUGUAAUGCCCAUGGUAACCAUGUCGUAAUUGGCAUAAAGCACUUGUAAAUUU
This is a long non-coding RNA of Humulus lupulus (European hop), 392 nucleotides long. RefSeq lists it as uncharacterized. The record is from RefSeq and is a predicted model, not a curated record. The transcript has 3 exons. Lineage: Eukaryota; Viridiplantae; Streptophyta; Magnoliopsida; Rosales; Cannabaceae.